Molecule: long non-coding RNA, 276 nt
Organism: Sinocyclocheilus grahami
Lineage: Eukaryota; Metazoa; Chordata; Actinopteri; Cypriniformes; Cyprinidae
Exons: 3
Source: RefSeq, a predicted model, not a curated record
ACGAUCAUCAGACGAGAUAAUUUACGGUGACCAUCAGAGACCUGAGGAUGGCAGAUGCUGGACUGUACAGCUGUGGAGCUGGAUGGGGAGAAUAUAAACGAAUCCAGCUGAAUGUGAUUAAAGCUCCACAGAAAACAAGGCCUGUCCAGAUCUCAACAUCCACCCUCCAUCCAGAUCAAACUCUGAGCUCAUUUUCAAACACGUUGCCUCAUUUGAGCACAUCAGACACGAAGCUUCAAUCCAGCACCAUCACGAUCACAGAUCAUCACAUCUCCU